AGGUUGGCUUAGAAGCAGCCAUCCUUUAAAGAAAGCGUAACAGCUCACUGGUCGAUGCGAUUCUGCACCGACAAUUCAACGGGGCUCAAGUCUGGUACCGAAGCUAUGGUUUUCGUCAGUAAAUGACGGAAAGGUAGGGGAGCAUUCCCUGACAAUGAAGUUCAUCCGUAAGGGUGGAUGGAGUCAAGGGAAGAGAGAAUGUCGGCAUAAGUAGCGAAAAUCCCGAUGAGAAUUCGGGACACCGAAAGCCUAAGGUUUCCUGGGGAAGGUUCGUCCGCCCAGGGUUAGGCGGGAGCUAAGUCAAGGCCGAAAGGCGUAGACGAUGCACAGCUGGUUAAUAUUCCAGCCCCAUCUGGUAAGCGUUAACACCUAAGGGGGGACGGAGAGGAAUAAGUCAUCCGGUGAUUGGUAGUACCGGUUUAACUCCUGAAGUCCGCUUGUGGCAAAUCCAUGAGCGCCAAGGACUGAUGGAGGAAUACGAGCUCAAUCGCAAGAGCGAGCGAAGUGGCUGAGUUCUUCUUCCAAGAAAAGCCUCGUAGGGAGUUUAUCAGGUGCCCGUACCGCAAACCGACACAGGUAGGCUGGGGGAAUACCCUAAGGUGCGCGAGAUAACCCUUGCUAAGGAACUCGGCAAAAUAACCCCGUAACUUCGGAAGAAGGGGUGCCUAAGUAGAAUAUGGUUAUUCAAUAAUUAUAUUUGAAAAGGCCGCAGCGAAAUGGCUCCUGCGACUGUUUAUCAAAAACACAGGGCUCUGCAAACUCGUAAGAGAAUGUAUAGGGCCUGACAAGUGCCCAGUGCCGGAAGGUUAAGAGGAGGUGUCAUUUGUCUUCGGACAGAGAAGCACUGAAUCCAAGCCCCGGCAAACGGCGGCCGUAACUAUAACGGUCCUAAGGUAGCGAAAUUCCUUGUCGGGUAAGUUCCGACCCGCACGAAUCUUGUAACGAUGGGAGCGCUGUCUCGGCGAGGGGCUCGGCGAAUUUGUGAUACCUGCGAAGACGCAGGUUACCCGCGGCUAGACGAAGAGACCCCGGAACCUUUACUGCAACCUGCUAUUGGAUUUUAGAAUAAUCUGCGUAGGAUAGGUGGGAGGCUAUGAAGUCCUGAUUCCGGUCAGGAUGGAGCCAUUGGUGAAAUACCACUCUUAUUAUUUUGAAAUCCUAACCUCUGUCUGUGAAUCCAGGCAAGGGACAGUGGGAGGUGGGCAGUUUGACUGGGGCAGUUGCCUCCUAAAAGGUAACGGAGGCGCCCAAAGGUUCCCUCAGGCUGAUUGGCAAUCAGCCGUUGAGUGUAAAGGCAGAAGGGAGCCUGACUGCGAGACUGACAGGUCGAGCAGAGGCGAAAGCCGGGCUUAAUGAUCCGGUGGUCCCGUGUGGAAGGGCCAUCGCUCAACGAAUAAAAGGUACUCCG
RNAcentral lists this ribosomal RNA (1408 nucleotides) under bioreactor metagenome. Its description in RNAcentral is "bacterial LSU rRNA". It matches the Rfam family "Bacterial large subunit ribosomal RNA", at positions 1098 to 2470 of the family's 2925-position model. The record is from RNAcentral.